AGAGGGGUCAACAGAUUUAUCAAGCUCCAAGGUGGGUUGGGUACGGGGGUAUAAUAGGGGAAAAUCUGGACUUUGUUCGGUAACUGAACUAAAAAGGGAAAAACGUACAAGCAGAGUAUUUUCAGUGACUGGGUGUUCUGUCAAAAGUGGGUCUAGGCCAAAAAAAUAUGUGUGCUAAACACCAUAACUAAUAGCUACAGAAAAAAAUUUGCAAGAAAACUUUCAGCUCAUUUUCUUUGUUCCGGCACUACAAAUCUGCUCAGGGAACAAGAAUUGCUCACAGAAUCUUUAAAGCUCCAACGGAAAGGAAUAAUAGAUCAAGUUCCUUACAACAAGCAAUUUCAAGGAGUAUACUCCAGAUACUUUUGGUAGAAAAGCCAAACAAAUUGUUUUUCCCAGUUUUGAAUCUGAAAAGGG
This is a non-coding RNA of Pelobates cultripes (western spadefoot toad), 417 nucleotides long. The record is from the annotation of a GenBank genome assembly. Lineage: Eukaryota; Metazoa; Chordata; Amphibia; Anura; Pelobatidae.